UACGUAGGGGGCAAGCGUUGUCCGGAGUUACUGGCGUAAAGACGCACGCAGGCGGUCUCUUAAGUUUGGAGUGACAGUUGGUGGCUUAACUGCCAAAGUGCUUCGAAAACUGAGAGACUUGAGGGCUUCAGAGGGACACGGAAUUCCGGGUGGAGUGGUGAAAUGCGUAGAGAUCCGGAGGAACACCAAAGGCGAAGGCAGUGUCCUGGGGAGUACCUGACGCUCAGGUGCGAAAGCCAGGGAGCGAACGGG
This 252-nucleotide ribosomal RNA is filed under the name uncultured bacterium. RNAcentral's name for it is "partial 16S ribosomal RNA". It matches the Rfam family "Bacterial small subunit ribosomal RNA", at positions 524 to 776 of the family's 1533-position model. The record is from RNAcentral.